This 931-nucleotide long non-coding RNA is filed under the name Elaeis guineensis (African oil palm). RNAcentral describes it as "long non-coding RNA (EGUI_LNC025572)". The record is from RNAcentral. Lineage: Eukaryota; Viridiplantae; Streptophyta; Magnoliopsida; Arecales; Arecaceae.
ACACCACAUCUACCCUUAGAAAAUUAAUUAAUUUUCCCCCUAGAGUUCUAAAAAUAAUAUUUCAAUUCUCUAAUCCGAUCAAUGUGGUGACAUUCUAGGCACGAGCGUAUGUGAUUCGAUGUCCAAAAGAAUUUGCAAGGCAAACAAUCACUGCGGUAUAAACUAUAUCGUAACAAUCUUUCCGAAAUGCUUUCAUUCCAUGAACAAACAUAAUCAAUUUUUUAAAUUAAAAAAAGAUCAAAAAUUAAAAAUAAUGGAAACUAAAAAACAUAUAUCCGAAGUCUGAGAGAGGGCAAGCUUACCACGAGUGGAGCUGCGAUCCACGGCCGGAGGGUGGUCGUAUGGCGGUCGGUCGCUGGUGGUGAAGGGCAGAGGAAACGAAGCGGCGGGAGACGGAAGGUUAGGGUUACGGGUUUCCUGGGAGAAGAACGCACGUGCCGUCUAUACACGAUAUAAGGCGGUAACGAUGCGCCGAGUUCUUAACAUGCUCACACUUUGCAAACCAAUGGUCGGAUCUGAUCUCGGGGACUCACGAAUCUUAACGGAGUCCAUGAACUAAAUAGAAGCGCACCAGGAUGCGCCGUUAAGCUUCUCGCCGACCACUAAUUGCUUUCACAGCUACCAUCUCCUCCCGGGCUCUCGAGAGCUCGAUCCCUCGCUUCUUCUUCUCUUCCCUUUCUUUAUUCUCCGCAAAAAAAAAAAAAAACCAAAAGCAAAGGGAAAGAAAGGAGAAACGAGUAAAGAGAUGGCAUCGAACCCUCCUCUUCCCUCCUUCAAGAUUUGUUUUCAGAAAUUUAACAAUUUCUUUGACCAGAUUAUCGCGGUUUAUCUCUGGUCUCGUAAGAUUAUUUCGACUGAUUUUUUUCUCGUUUAAAAAAUUUUCUUGAGACAUAUAGAUAAGAAUAUCAAUAAUAUUAGAUUCUCUUAGCUG